CCAGCUUCACCACCGAGGUCACGAUGGCCAGCUCCGUGUCCGUGAUUUUGUUGUAAACCACCUCGAACUCCUUUACGAUGUCCUUUAUGAGGUCGAUUCGCUUGGCGUCGACGAGGAUGUUGAGGAAAUUGACGGUGUGGGGUUGGAGGGUGGAGGAGUUGGCGAUUUCGUCGAGGACCUUGCGCUUCUUGUCGAGGUCGAUGGUGGGGUUGAUGAAGAAGUCGAAGACCGACGGCUCGCCGAAGAACUUCUCGAUCUUCUCCACGUCGCCCGCCGUGGUUUCGAGGGUGUUGUUGGAUUUGGCCACGUCGGCCAACGCCGUGGCGUAGCUGGCGGCGGCGGAGGAGUUCAUUCUGGCGCCGAGGGCUCCGCCGCCGUUUCGGCGGAGGGUGACGACGGCGGCGGCGGAGGAGGAGAGCUUGAGGGGGAUGGGGGUGAAGGUGGAGGAGAAGGAGAAGGAGAGGGUGGAGGUUCUGGGGGUGAGGGUGGAGGAGAGUUGUGGUGGGGAUGAUGGGUUUUGGGAUUGGAGAGAGAUUGGGGUGUGUUGGAGGGCGGCCAUUGGUCAAUUGGGUGGCUCUCUUUCUCACUCUCACUCUUGGUUUGAUGAUGCGAAGAGAGAGUUUGUGGAACUGAAAGGAAGUGGUAUGUUUGAAGGUUUUGGGGAUUGAUUGAUAUGAAGGAGGAAGGGGUGGACGGUUAGGAUGGUGAGUAGGGAAGGGGGUGGGACGGUGGGGAUUUGAUGGGUUUUUAUCCUUGUUUGAGUGUUAGUAGCCACUGAUAUCUUAAGGAGAUAAUGGAUUUGACGCGUGGAUAGGUUUCAUAGGAUAAGGUAUAUUUUUCAUAUUUUAUAGAAGAAAGUCUUCCUUCACCAUUUGUAAAUUAGUGGCGGUGGUGAUACUUAUUCGAAGCUAUGAAGCUUGUGAAGAAAAGCCUGAAAAAAAUAUUUAUUUCCAGCAGCAAAGUGAUUGGUACAUUGCCAUCUCAAAUGCUCACCAACAGAACUUCCCAACAACAGAAGCAAAAGCACAAACUCAGCCAUUGAAGUUACAUAUAAAGUGUACACUAUACAAAUAACCGAAGACACCAUAUAACACAAGUUCUAUGUUCUACGAUAGUAUAAACAUAUCCACUUUACCAGCAAUGGGAAAAUAAAAUUGAGUAGAGGCGUCAUAGUAUAAAUAUUCCAACUCAGCGUCCAUGCGAAGGAAAAGAGUCAUCUGUAGAAGACUGAGCACCGGAUCCGACAUUUGAGUUUUGUGAUGUAAAUAAGUUUGGGUAUGAGAAGUACGGAUCAUCUUCCAUUGAACUCAAUCUCUGAGGCUGAUGUCGAAGAGGCUCAUGUUCAAAAGCAUGAUCAUUGGGAAGUGAGGAAUCCAAAUCUGCAUUAAGUGGCUCCAUAGUGACAGAAUUAAGAUCUGAUACCUUAGCUCCAUGGCCAUAUUCAUUGACUUGAUGCGGUCCCGGAGAAUGUAUAGCACCAUCGGAAUCACCAUUGCGGAUAGGAUGAUCAAAAUCUGGUUUUUCUCUAGUAUCUGACUCACUAGGAAUGUCUACAUGAAAUGGGUUUUCACAGCUAUUUUCAGGGACUUCUUCAGUGUUUUUCUUGGUAAGCUCGUUAAUUCUAACUUGUGCAAGACUAGCUGCUGAGCGUGCUGCUGCUGCUGCACGUUCUGCAGAGUCUGCAGCAGCCUGAGCAGCAGCUAACACAUCCUGAAAAUCCACAUUGGCGUCACUUCUUGUUCUUGAAAGAGAAGGUGGUGGAUUGCUUCGUCUUGUAGAAAAUGAUGCAGACGAAAGUGAUGGGGGAGAAAUAAAUGGCAAGAACUGUUUAUCUUCCAUACCAUCAACUGAAACAUGAGACUGUUCGUGUUUGUUAGCCACUGAUCUUGCUUGCAUCACUUCUUCAGACUCAAAGGAUGGCUCUUCGGACGAAUUUUCAAUGGCCCCAGAAUCUUUUGACAAUCCAUGAUCAACUUCAGGGUGUGGCGGAGUUGGUAAAGGUGGAGGCAUCGCAGGUGCUGAGGCUGGAUUCGCAAUUGGUCGUAGUGAUACCGUAGGCACUUCAGGAAAGUCUAAUGAUUCCAAACCAUCAUCAGAAUCAGACUGUUCUUUCUGAGAUUGAUCUGGGGCGCAGUACGAUGGUUCGUCAUGUUUUUCUUUGGGGAGGGGCAGUUUAGACCCACUGACAAACUGUGUUGGACCAUUCUGACAAAGAGAGGACAGAUUUAUAGCAGACAGGUGAAAAAGGAAAAAGGAAAAGGGAAAAAGGACAAAAGAAAAUGAGUCCGAGUAUUGUGUUUACCAAUAAAUCUUCAUGUGGUUUGAAAAUUUCAGCUUCAGAUGCAGCAGGAUCCCAAUCCAGCUCAUGCUCUUCGGCAAUUUCUUUCAGUAGCUUCAGUUUUUUCUCAGGCGAAGGAGCACGAACAGAUAGCAGUUCUAUCAACUGCAGUUAAAAUCCAGAGUCACAAACACAAAGUAGGAACCUAAAUAGCUUGAAGAAUAGUGUUACAAUUCUAGUGCACUAAAAGAUGAAUAUCAUGGGGGGAAAAGGUUGCACUACAAAAAGAAAGUUCAUAAAACCUGGCGAUUGACACCACAAUCUGGAAUGAGUUCUGUUGCAGCUGAUACAAAUUCUUUCCCAUAUUUUGAAGCAAAUAGCAUUUGAACUUGUAGCAACUCUGACAGAUCAGCACAUCUUGGCGCAGCAAAACACACACUGGAUAUUGCUUCUUUUAAGUCUAGAGGACAUUCCCUGUAUCAAAAAAUUUAGUUUUUAAGUUUUUAAGGACUGGGUGAAUUUUAACAUAUACGUAACUACAAAAACUUAGCAUACUAACUUUUUGUGUCAAAAUUUCAAGAAACUUAAAUGCCAACUAAGUAAAUCAAAUAGCAGACUUAGAAAUAUGACGACAUUUAAUUCUACAAAAACAAAGGUUGAGUGGAAAGAUGAGAAAAUCAACCACAUGACUAACAAAGAUAAUAAACUAACAAAGAUGAUAAGCUAAGUGAUGCAGGAGGUACAAAGCAUUUCACAAACUACCACAUAAAGUAACUUGGUGGCUUAUGCGGCAGUGCCAUGUGAGUUAAUGAAAUUUCCCCAUGAUACAUGAGGAUAAUGGCAAUACAAAUACGUGGCAUGCCAUCUCCGUUGUCACACCCACAACGGUUUGUAAAAGCAUGAUCCAUCAAGGAUAGAGUAAAGUGAAACCCAUAAAAAAUUCCUCAAACUGAUACUACUGUACUCCCUAUUCCAGAACCGCCUGACUCAACAACUGGGUGGAGAACAGAGACCAUGCUCCCCACUAGCAUUUAAUGGGUUUUGUGACUCAAUUGCAAUUUUCCUAUGACAAGCUCUGCUUAGUUUUAAGUAUCAAUAGAAAGUGGUAUUAGAUUUUUUAAUUGCAAGAAUUUGGAAGCGAAGUACAAACCUAAUACAACUGUCCAACUUAGCUGAAGUGCUAAUGUUCCAGAAGAAGAUACACCAAUCACAAGUUCUCAACCUUUCUUUUUUCCUUUGUUUUCUCUCCCGAAACAUUUCAGUAACCAAAUUAACUAUGUCUGAAACUAGAAAGCAGGAACAUCCUAAAAGAGAGAAAGUGCAGUAGUGAAACUAGAAAGCACGUAUUCUAUUGAAUUGCAAAAGUGGGCCUUUCUCUUUCAUGAAUAUCUAUUUCACAGGGCUCCAAACAAGUCAACUAAAUGAUUGAUUCCUAAAUGUUUCAGUCCCUACUUUAACAGCUGAAGCAUCUCAUAUCUAUUUUAAUAUAAACUGCAGUAGUCUUAUUUCUCCACCAUUGGAAAAAAGAGACUGGUGUACAAGCUUAGCCAAUUACUAAAAUGUUAAGUUUUACACCGGAAAUUUCAAGCUUUGCAGAUCAAGCCACAGAAUGUCUGAUUAAAAAAAGAAUGAAGUCUUGCUUUAACUAAAAUGUUCUGACUUGUAUUCUAAGUCUCACGUCCUUGUAUGUAAGAAUGUAUAUAUGCCAAUCACUUCUUAUAUUUCUAGUCUCUUUUUCUUAUCUGUUAUUUUCUCUUAAUCAUUUUUUCUCUGCAUCCAUGGAUGUCAUUGUCUCAAAACUAUGUGUGUGUUUGUGAAUGUGCACUUUUGUCUUGGUCUAAAGAGGAGUGUCCCGAGAAGAUUGAAGUGUUUCUGGUGUUUCUGUGAAGAAAAACCAGUCACAUCAAUCUAUUGCAAAGUUGCAAACAACAACUAACAGAAGUUUAGUUGGUCAUGGAAAGAAUACUGGUAACCUUUCAUUUUGAUUAAGAGAGAGUUAUUCUUUAUUAUAUAAACAAUGGUCUACUCCUUCCAUUCCACCCUCUCCCCACAAGGAAAAGGAACAAGGAGUACACAUGGACUAAGGAUUAUCAGAAUAAUUAAUAUUUUCAACAGUUCAUAUCAACCUGAGAUAUUUGUUUUCAAUCACAUUUCAGCAAUGCAUUUCAUUUUUUUUCUUUCCUAAAUCAUAAUCUGUUCAUGAUUUCAGAAAUACAUGCAUGCUACUAAAUCCAUGAAAUCCAUCCUAGAACACCCCAGAGUUUUCACCUCACAAGUUUAGAAGAAUUACAACGAAUCAAUUGCUUUUUUAAAAAUAAGAGUCCGCGAAGUAAUGCAUACAUGAAGAAAAAAUAAUAUUCUUUGUUUUAACAAAGAACAAACAGUCGUUCUUUCACCAUACCAGGAUAUGCAUGAAGGUUUACAAAAUUUUCCAUAUGUAGCCAUUAAAAAAGAUAGCAGGAAUUGCUGCAUGCAUUAUAACCCAUGAACCGCAGAUCAUCUUAGUUUUUUUCCGUCUAUGAAAUAUUUAUCAGUACUGAAAACGUUGCAGUUACAGAGAGAAUUUGAGAUAUUACAUCAUUUUAGCUUAGGAUUCUGACAAAUCAAAACUAAAAAUUGCAUGCCAGAUUAUUGGAACAAACAGAAGCAUGGUACAAGAAAAUCACCAGUUUAGAGAUUAACCUUUGUGAUUCAAUAAUUGGAAGGCGGACAGCAAUAAGCUCACAAAAUAGCUCAAGAAUCUCGUGAGCUGCCAUCAUAUUCUCUUCUCUAAUAAUAUGCUCUACCUGAAAUGUAAAUAUCAAUAACACCAUUAUGAAAUGAACAUGAGAAAAAUUCUCAGUAAAAUUUUUCUUAAUACUUUCUAAUUAAAUUAACUAGUUCAUACUUUGUGAUAGAAAAAUUGAAUCGUAAAAACAUAAAUGGAAAAGAGAUGUAUUACCCGAAUCCUAGCAGUAGCCUCUUGGCCAGUCUCAAGAAGCUUGGCAAUGUCACGGCGCAUCUGUUUAAUCUGAAUUUCUCUCCUGUUCCUCAACAACUUUAUCCGCGGAAUAGUCAAUUUCAGCAGGGUUUUGCUGCACAUAAAAAGCACAAACUUACAUGAAAUCACCCGAAACCAAACUAAAAACAAAUUUGCAUUGCACAUCUACAGAACACAAAUAAUUCAAAACCCAUGUCCUCAAAAUAUUCAGCUGGCCCUAAAUUUGUUAUAAUCUGAUUAUUUCAUUUCUUGCAAUGUUAAGAUUAACUCAACUAAGUUAGGUUUCUGCACUUAUUCGCAACAUUUACUACUUCCUCGACAGCCAAACAUCAAUAGAAACUCGAUCAAAGCUUUCGAUCUCAUGAAACUCACAAACCCAGAAAAGACCCAGAAAGUAAAAAAAACAAAAUCGGAAACGGAAACACAACUGAGAGAUCAGAGGAGCAAAUAACAGUUGGGGAGAUCAAUGAUGGUACCAUUUGGCCGCUUUGAAGCCCUUGUUGAAGAACGAAUCGAGCAUCGACAUGCUGACGACGAAAAUCCAAAUCCCUAAUUCCAAACAAAGUCAAAGAUUUGCUUUUUCUUUUUGGUAGCUCUUAUAAGUGUCACAAAGAUUCAAUCUUGGUGAUGUUGCAGAAACAGAGAAGGAGAUGGAUGAUGGCAAGAGAGACUACCUGCUACGUAAAAGAAAGAAACACAGAGUUUUGGCUACGGACAAAACGCGUCGUUUUACAAGUUUGCUUAGUGGACAAGGAGGCUCUGCGUAGCUCUAUGUUUGCGCGGGCGGUCUGUGUGCUUAUAUUUUAUUGCUGUGGGGCCAAACACUGCCUUUUUAGGCUGAGGGGCUCCUUCUCCUUCCUGAUGAUGUUGCCUUCUACCUUCAACGAUUCACAAUAUUUGCUAAAUGUUGUUUUUUUUUAUUUUAAUCAAACUAACAGAUAUUUAAUUUAUAAUUUAUAUCUUUUUUUUUAAUACAAGUAAUAUUAGAGGAGGAAAGUUUUCUUAUGCGCUGUCAAGGUGUCAUAGGGUUCGAAUAUAAAACCAUUGAUCGGUAAGUCAAAGGACAUUUUCCACUGGAGCUAGACUCCAUUAGUUUAUAAUUUAUAUCUUAAGAGCAAGAACAGCAUCCGCCAGCCGAACAAGUAAGGGAUUCCUCGACCGGUGUGCCGGCUUGGCUCCAGCUUUGGCUUCUUGAUUGGCUAUUGCCAGAGAAGACAUAUAUGCUAUACCAUCAGACGGAGCAGACAUGGCAAGAUAGAACAUAUUAAAGAAUGAGCCAAAGCCGAACAAGCAAGGCCAAAGCCAAAUGCCGACCUAAGAAGGGACGCUUGCGGGAGACUUUCGAGUUUCCCGAUAGGUCGAUGUACAACCGAAAGGUGAAUGCUUUACCAAACUCGUGUACAACUUCUUUCCUGUGUAUUGAUUUCCGCUUAUUACAUGCUUGGUUUCCUAAAUUCUUACUCCACAGCACCCCUUGACCAAAGAAACAAAAAACCAAAAAGCCAAGAUCUCUAUAAAGCGAAGGAAAGAAUACAAAUGUACAAUAGAGAAGGAAGAAAGACGAAUUCUAUGAAAGCUUAGACGGAAUAUGUAACAUCCUACAUUGACCAACGGAGAUGGGGUGAUGUGCCUUAUAUGUACAUGCCCACCUUCAUCUAGCACGAGGCCUUUUGGGAGCUCACUGGCUUCAGAGUCAUAGGAACUCCGAAGUUAAGCGAGUUUGGGCUAGAGCAAUCCCAUGAUGGGAGACCCACUGGGAAGUUGCUCGUGAGUUUCUAGAAACAAAACCGUGAAGGCAGGGGGCCCAAAACGGACAAUAUCGUGCUACGGCGGAGCAGAUCAGGGAUGUGACAGAAUGGUAUUAGAGCCACUCUGCCGUGUGGUGCAAAUGUGCUGACGAGGACGUUGGGCCCCUAAAGUGGAUGGAUUGUAACAUCCCACAUUGACCAACAGAGAGGGGGUGAUGUGCCUUAUAUGUACAUACACACCUCUAUCUAGCACGAGGCCUUUUGGGAGCUCACUUGCUUAGGAGUCAUGAAAACUCUGAAGCUAAGCGAGUUUGGGCUAGAGCAAUCUCAGGAUGGGUGACCCACUGGGAAUUUGCUCGUGAGUUCCCAGAAACAAAACCGUGAAGGUAGGGGGCCAAAGCGGACAAUAUCAUGCUAUGGCAGAGCCGAUCUGGGAUGUGACAGAAUAAGGUCUAAAGGAGACCGCCUAUUUAUCACAUGGAAGGAGAAGACUAGUCAAACAUUCUAGCUAUAAACUCACAAUAUAGACUUGAAAAAAGAAGAAGAAAGAUAUUGAGACGGAAUAUGAAUGAAGGAUUGAAGCAUCUGACCGGGCUCCGGAGAUGAAUACCGAAAGAGCUUACCGAAUGCACCAUCCACCUCAGAUAGCUCGACCAGGCAGGAAGGGAGAUUCUCCAGCUCCACUCCUUGUUAUAUAUAUAUUGGAAAACUAUGCUUCAAAAUCAAGCCCAAAAAAUGAUCCUUUUGAAAGGUCGUAUCUUGACCCAUUCAAGCCAUGAAAGUGACCUUUUGGAUUAGAAAACAUGGCCUCUGGACUCUUUCUUGGCUUGAUCGAAGAGCUACUAACAAAAAGGCGAAGUCAGGAUUCAUAAUAAAAUAACCGUGGACGGAUUGAGCUAAUGUUUUCAAAACUUCCAAUACCAUAAGAGGAUUCCACAUCUUUUUUAUAUAUUUUAUUUUAUUAUUUUUAAAUUUUAUAGAUUUUGCACCUUCAAAAGAGAUCUCGAAGGGAAGGUAUAUUGAAUUACAUAAAUCGAUUCACGUGUACUUCUUGUUGCUACAAGGCAAGAAAGAAAGAGGAACUAAUUCAAGAAAGUCAUUUGUGGACGGCAAGAGUACGACAUAUUCCAGGGACCGAUCUAUCUCAUUAAAGGAUUCUGUGGACAGGGCAUGGACUUCAAACCGAUCAAUUAAACCAAUUAUUGUAUAGUUUCCGAAGGAAGUAUUGAAUUAAAGUCAUUCAUGUGUGCCGAUUUCCUUAUGGUUGACUUAACAAUUGGGAUACUAGUUUCACCGUACUUAUAAUCCAUCUUUCAUUAUAUGCUAAUUUCAGUGUAUUAGUUCAUAGCCAAGCUCAACUGGGCUAGAUGGACACAUACACUGUAUGUAGGGCUUAUACACACCAUUAGUAGUUCCCUCCAAAACCCCUGUCUUCUGCCUACGAAUGGGAGAGAGAGCUUGUUGGAUGGAUAGAGUGAAUGCGGGAAUGGCAUAGAGGAAUGGGAUACUACUAAAAAAAAGUAAGAAACACGGGAGCAUGUGGUUGAUAUAAGAAGUACUUACUAUCUUUCCCAAAGUCCAUGUUCUGCCUACCGACCUUAACUUCUCUUUCUAGCCCCUCUACGCUUAUCAAUGCCUGCAUUCCUUUGAUUUCUUGUUGUACUCCUUCUACCAUAUUCCUCUAUCUUUGCAUCUCAGUCCCAGAUCGACUGUAAGUCUUCUUUGCUAUAGCUUGAAUCUGUGAUCGACCUAAAAUAUAUUAUAAAAAGUCUUUUGUUUGCUGGUUUGAGUCCACGUGAUUUAUUUCUCUUAUUAUAAGCGCCAAAUCCCUAACUUUCUUCUUGUUGCUAGCAAAUGGAAAAAUACUACUUCUUGGACUGUGGCCGACACCAGAGAAGACUAAUUAGAUAUUUGCUAAGCGAACGAGCCCUAGCUUGAUCUAAGUCUUAUACCUUAAUUAAGCAGCCUAACUUAUAUGCUCCUCUUACCUUGCUUUAUUACACCGUGCAAAUGAAGCGAAGGACAUCUAUUAUCUAUAACAAAAAUUCCUUAAUCUAACAAGUAAGCAAGUAAACUGCCUUGAGAGAAGACCGAUUUCUACACAAACCCUAGCUACAUUGAGGCUUGAGACAAGCUUCGGAGGACCAUCAAGGGUCAGGCCAAUUUCGAAAAUAGGGACAAUAGAAAAGAGGCGAAACUCAAAGAAGAAGACAAUGGGCAUAUGGGGUCGCGAGACCCAAAUAGGCGCAUGCAUUAGAUCACCAAUGAGGAGAUGGAAAUCAUGGCUCCAGCAGAAAACCCUAAGCAUCAAUCCCUCAAUAAAAAAACUUCUCUUUUUUGGUGCAUAUCUUCUUUAUUCGAGAGCUUGAUGAAGACAUGCCUUGGAUCUAACAGAGUGAUAGAAAGAUCCCCCCUUUUUCGAGCAAAGAGUUGGGUUAGCCGUCCCAUCCCGUUUUUCCUCUCUUGAUCUACAAGCUGCUUUGCGAUAACUCUCUUAUGUUCUUUCUCAACUUCAUGCAUUAAAUUAAAGGAUAAACUAUCUUGUGCUAAUUCUAGUUACCAAUGGUUCAUCCAAAGGGAUAGCUAAGAAGAAUAAAGAAGCUGUGUUGAAGACAAAGUCUCGAGAAUAGAGUUUUGAAGCGAGGCAAAGCAGAAGAGAGAGGUGAAACCAACACCCUUUGAAUAUAUGGAAGUCAACCUGAAGGUAAAUAUUAAAUAACAGAACUUCCAAGUGCAUCUCAUAUGAUGGCUCUUCCCUUGGCUGAGACUGACUCUUGGAAGUUACAGAAUGGAAUGAUGGAUGAACUUUACCCCUACAUAACAUAGAUCAUGAAUCACAUGUUUACCAUUUUCCUGACCUACAUGAACAGAGAACAAGCACACCUUUCUCAACCUUUAUACUAAUGUGAUAUAUGAUCUUGGCUUUUAUUUUAGAGAUGUUUGGAUUGAAUGAUGUGAUGCGCCCGUUGCGCUUGACCUCUUUCCUUGUUACUGAUGGUUUGGGCUUUCUAGCCAAACACAAAUACUCGUAGAAAGCUUUGCCGAGCCGGGGUUUUUCUUUUGUUUAAAGUACCCCUAUUCCGCACAUCAGACAGAUCAAAGGGGCCUUUUUAUAUGUCUGAUUUGGCUAUGGAAUCAGUCUCAUUUUAGGAAUUGAAUUUCGAUGUCAACGAGAGAGAUUCGAAAAAGCUUUAUCCACCCUUAUAAAAAUAGGUAUCUCCACUAAUAGAAAUCCUAUAAGGUAUGUGAGAAGAUGGCAAAAAGUGGUGCUUCCCUUCAGGGAAAUCAUUGAAGAGACCAGCACAAUUCAAAACCUAUGAAAUCGGGCAAUAAGAGGCCUAAAAAUAGUUCAAUCAACUAGAAAGUAGCUUAGCCCACACACAGAAUAGAGAAGAGUUAUGAGCGGUCAAACCUCAUCAAGUGCCAUCCACGGGAGUCCCUAGGGUUCCACUUACCGAAUCACAAGGUGAGGCGCAGCAAAUCAUUACUACCUUAGCCACCCGGCACCCUAUUUUACUCUCAAAAGACUGCACUUCUCUCGUUCCUCUUGGACGAUUUUUUUUUGUCAGUAGCCGUACACCUACCUAAUUGUAUAAUCUAUCUUUCCAAGAGAAUGAAUGUAAAGAUCAGACUUUCGUUCUUCAGGACCUGCAAGCAGUAAUUCAUAGGUGUUAACGGGACGUAGUAAUGUGGGGCGUAUUUUCCCUAAUUAUGAAAGAUUGAAUGUGUUAUAUCAUGUUCUUGGCUGCUGAAAGACGAGUUUUUUCAAAACCUGCUUCUCGCCUUGAGCUGAGCCCUACCACAUGAAUACAUUUUAGGACUAGCAGAUUGACUUGUUUAGCCCUUUUUUUAUUGGUUUUGUGAAUCCCACCAUUACUGAGCACGACCUGAUUGAGGCACGAAUCCGUCUUUUACCUUUUAUUAUUGUAUUUUUUUGGGAAAGGGACUUGAAGGAAUGCAAUCUAUCUAAUAUUAGGAAGCAGGUAGCGAGGUAGUUAGGGACCUACUGACUGCAGUGGAAAUGAGGUCACACUUAUGUGUUACGCAAUUUCUCUUUCUUUCUUUUAGAUAUAUGCAUUAAAAAAAACUAUCAUUGCUAUAGCUUGUUGUUUUGCUAUUUUUUUUUUUAAAUUUUUAUUUUUUAUGGCUAUGCAUUUGUCUAUUUUGUGGAUUGUUGGCCAAGUUUGAUUGUAGUUAUCACUUUUUAUUAAUUUAAAUGUUGUACAUCCUAACUCUUUAGAUUCAUAUGUUUACUUUCUUGACAAAUCGACGUGUUCUUGGAGGCUUAAAUGACGAAGACUGUCUUAGGCUCAUAAAGUGUUAGGGAAAGUCCAGCUUCUAAGUGAGAAGUUGUAUAAUACUAAAUAGCUUGGUUUAUUUAAGCAUUUUUCAUGUGUUUUUAAAAUCAUUUGUGUAGAUAUAGUUAACAGCUUAUAACUUUUUUGUAGUUUGAACGUUUGUUUCUAAGUAUUCUAUUUAGUGGAUGUGAAAUUUCAGUUCUUUUUUAAUAUAUUCAAUUUGGUACUAAAUUCUUUCUUGGCAACUUUAGUUGGCUAGGAUUUUUUAUUUUUAAAUAUCAGUUAUAUUUUUCUUGACGACUAAAAAUCGUCAUUUAAAUGUCAGAAAAUAUAUUUGUUAAUAUGUACGAAGCGACAAGAAAAGUACUCUCUGACUGUUUUUAAAUGAUCCGUGACAUUUUUUAUGUGUCGGGAAAUAUUAUUCCUUGACGGAUAAUAAGGAUCAAGAAUCGCGAUACCCUUUCCUGACACUGGUAUUGCUGUUCCAUACCAUCAACUAAUGGCUAUAAUGACCUUUUUUAGUUGUCAGUAAAGGGGUUUUUUUCUUGUAGUGUUAAUGGCAUUGUUCUAGCAUGAUAUGUUUGAAACCCUCUAUGCACUCUUACAACCACAUAAUGUGAGCUUUUGAGCCUUGUGCUUCAAUUCAUGAGUGUUACACAUACUCUUAUUUUCUUGUCAUCUAAGUUGUUUGAUCUCAUUAUUCAUUGAUUUGCUUGAGCACUUAAAAGUCUUUCACUCUUAUGCAAUUUGAUUACAUAAUAUCUAGGAAAUGAUAUUAAGGCCCCCUUUGGAUCACUUGUGCCUUUUCAAGCCUUAUACAUGCUUAAGCAUGAUUUUCCAUUGUUAACCACUUUAAGCCUACCUGUAAGCCUUUUCUUUCAAUAUACCAAUUAUAUUUCCUCACCUUAGCCUGAAAAAUAAUAAUUUACAUUUCUAGGGAACUCAUGAGUGUUAAUUUGGAUGUGUUUUUCAUGCUAAGUUUGAGAAGCGAUGUUACAUAUUGUGUAAAUAAAAAAAAUAAAAAAACAAAAGAGAAAAGUCGCUCAAUUUGUGAAAGAAAACGUUGUGGUUAGUUGUUGUUUGAUUGAAAUUUCAUAUUUGAGUUCUCUUUAUUGGGCCUAAAAGUAAAUUGGUGGCUAUUCAAUUGAAUGAAAGGAGUCUGAAUCAAUAUAAAUGGAGUAUAAGGCUUUAUGGUCUACUUGAUCAUAAUAAAAAAAAAAAACAUAAGCUUGAUGAUUCUAAGUCAUGUGAUUUGUUCCUAUAUGCUCUUUGAGUUCCUUGGACUUUGUAUUAUCCAUACCUUUCAUUUCUUACUCACCUUAUACCCUUGGCCUCAUUACAACCUAUGCUAAGACCUAAAUUGAUCCUAAAUAUCAUGUGGUUGAAUUGUUUUUAUCUUUCUAUACUUUUAAGUGUUUGGCAUCCUUCUUCAUAUCAUAUUUAUGCAUGUUCUUCAUUUUCUUAUUGCUAGUUAAGUCCUUUAUGGGUUAACUCAAUUCUCAUGUUUAUAACUGAGUGAGGCAUUUUAACCCUCUUUUAAGUGAUUCAUUCAUGAGAGUACAACUUUGUGAGAUUAAAAGUUGAUUUUGUGUUUGGUUUGAUAUUCGAAGUUGUGCGGAAACUUAGAUUGGGAAUGAGUUGCAAUUGGCUAUCACACUACUACACCUUGAGCAUGUUGUGUUUUGAGCUUUGCCGCAUUGUGAAUGAUAUCUAAAAACUGAGUUUUUAUUGUGAAAACUUUUAAGUAAUGUGCAUCAGUCGCCCUCUCCUCGGAAAAUGUUCGGAAAGAUUGUUUUAAGUUUUGUUUAGUUUCUGUUUUGCUUGAGGACUAGUAAAAGAUAAGUUUGGAAAGUUUGUUGGGUUUAUUUUUGUACAUGAUUUAUCAUGUUAUUCACCAAUGUUUUGAGUUAAUUCUUGGAUUAAAAUAUUAAUAAAGUAAUUAAAACUUAAAGCAAAAUAUUAUACAAAUCAAAAAAUUAUAACAAUUUUAGAGAAACACAUCUUGCAAUUGAGGAGUUUCCAAUUUUCCAUAGACUUAGAAACCUAAGUAAGAGGUAGCAUACCCAAUU
RNAcentral lists this long non-coding RNA (13373 nucleotides) under Prunus persica (peach). RNAcentral's name for it is "long non-coding RNA (PPER_LNC007849)". The record is from RNAcentral. Lineage: Eukaryota; Viridiplantae; Streptophyta; Magnoliopsida; Rosales; Rosaceae.